Molecule: long non-coding RNA, 6050 nt
Filed under: Sus scrofa (pig)
Lineage: Eukaryota; Metazoa; Chordata; Mammalia; Artiodactyla; Suidae
Description: lncRNA (ENSSSCG00030019526.1)
Source: RNAcentral
ACGGCAACCUCCAGGGGAGCUCACAUUGAUGAUUAUUCCUGGGACCUCUGUGUCCAUUGUCCUGUCCCCUCAGUGAGCCACAGCCACCCCCUGCUCUCCCUGGAGACCCUCUAAGACCCACAGGUAGGCCUGAUCCAGAUUCUUAUGGAGUCCCCGCUUUGCCCUGGAACCCAGUGCACGAGAAACCCUUUGUGUGCCCUCCAGUGGUGGAAUCUGUUCCCUCCAGUCCUGUGGAGCUCCUGUGCUCAAGCCUCACUGGCUUUCAACGCCAAAUGCUUCAGGGGCUCCUCCUCCCAGUGCCAGACCCCCAGGCGUGGGAACCUGAUGUGGAGCCCCAAACUCUCACUCAUGUGGGAGAGCCUCUGCCAUAUAGUUAUUUUCCAGUCUGUGGGUCACCCACCCAAUGGUUAUGGGAUUGCUUAUAUCAUGAAAGCACCCCUCCUACCUUCUUGAUGUGACAACUUUGUCUUUGGGUAAAGGAUAUCUUUUUUUGGUAGCUUCCAGUGUGUUUUGGCUAUUCAAAAGUUAGUUGUAAUUUUGGCUUUUUUUGUGAGAGGAGGUGAGCCCGAGUCGUUCUAUGCCAUAGUCUUGUCUCUGUCAAGUAAGUGGUGCUGGGAAAACUGGACAGCGGUACCCUGUGCCCUCCUUCCUUCCUGGCCCAGACAGACACACUUUGGCCUGGAGUUAAAUUUUCUAAAGUCCUUGAAUUUUCCAGAAGGGGUAAAACUUAUAUUACAUUUAAUAUAGCGGUACUUUUAUUAUUUAUUCUCUAGAGUAACAAUUAGAAGAUUAGAAAAAUAAUGUAUAACUAACCGGCUGAAAGAUGAGCUAAUGGAUUUUUAAAAAAUACUUCAUUAAUCUAAAAGAUGGCAAGAAUGGAAAGAAAAAUAACAUGAAACAGGUGAAACAAUGGAAAACGUGUAGUAGGGUGAUAAGCCUAAAGUUGGAGUUCCUGUUGUGGCUCAGCAGGUUAAGGUUCUGACAUUAUCUCUGUGAGGAUGCAGGUUUGAUCCUUGGCUUCACUCAGUAGGUUAAGGAUCUGGCAUUGCCACAAAGCUGUGGCAUAGGUCACAGAUGCGGCUCGGAUCUGGUGUUGUGGGUAGACUGCAGCAGCUCCGAUUUAAUCUCUAGCCUGGGAACUUCUAUAUGCUGUGGGUGCGGCCAUAAAAAAAACCAUGUCAAUCACUACCUAAAAUGUACCCAAAAUUAGUGUAAUUAAAAGACAGAAUUAUCAGAACGGAUUUUUAAAACUAUACACUGCUUACAAGGAAAGCCUCUUAUUAAAUAUAACAACAUAGAAAUAUUGAAAAUUUCCUUUCCAGCUCUUUCAAGUUGAAAGUAGAUGUGGCUUGCAAACACUAAAAUAGAAAAGAAAAGCUGCUCUAACUGUACUAAUAAAAAACAAAGCAAACUUUAAAGAUAAUAGUAUUACUAGAGAUUAAAAAAGACAUUAUAUAAUGCUAAAAGAUCAAUUCAUUGGGAAGUUUUAAUAAUCCUAAACCAUAUAUACACAUAUGGUUUGUCUCAAGUCAUAAUAAUGUGACUUCAAAAUGUAUAAAACAAAAAAUUGACAAAGCUGAACAAAUAGAAACAUCCGCAGUCACGGUGGGACAAUUAAAUACAUCUCUGUUUUUAGGGGUGCCUGAUAGAACAGGCAGACAAAAAUAUCUGUACCUUUAUUGGACACCUCUUGUACCCUGUCUUCCAUCUCUUGGCCCAUAUUUUUAUUGCAGUUAUUGCCAUAUCAGUCAGCUCUACACAGGUGUAACUUGACAACUCCUUGUCACAACUGCAUCAUGCAUGUCUUUGUUUCUUCCCUGGAGUUUCACUGCUACCUAUACAUGGAACCCUUACAAGAAUUUGCUCAAUCAUUUUGUUACAUGCCAAGUGAAUUAAUGCCACUCAGGGCAGCCCUCAACCAAUAAAGACAGGAGCCAGUCGAUAAUUAUUCUCCUGUAUCUCAAGUGCACAAUUCUUUUUCAAAAAUUUUUUUUAUUAUAGUUGGUUUACAAUGUUGUGUCAAUUUCUGCUGUACAGCAAAGUGACCCAGUCUCUCUCUCUCACACACACCACCCCCCGACACACCCACAUACACCCACACCCUUUCUUAUUUUAUCUUCCAUCAUGGUUUAUCUCAAGAGACAGGAUAUAGUUCCCUGUGCUAUACAGUAGGACUUCAUUGCUUAUCAAUUCUAAAUAUGAUAGUUUGCAUAUAUUAACCCCAAACUCCCAGUCCAUCCCCGACCCCCCCCCCCGCAACCACAGUUCUGUUCUCUAUGUCUGUGAGUCUGUUUCUGUUUUGUAGGUCAGUUAAUUUGUGCCAUACUUUAGAUUCCACAUAUAAGUGACAUCACAUGGUAUUUGUCUUUCUCUUUCUGACUUACUUCACUUAGUAUGAGAAUUUCUAGUUGCAUUCAUGUUGCUGCAAAUGGCAUUAUUUUAUUAUUUUUUAUGGAUGAUUAGUAUUCCAUUGUGUAUAUGUACCACAUCUUCUUAAUCCAUUCAUCUGUUGAUGGACGUUUAGGUUGUUUCCAUGUCUGACUAUUGUGAAGUACUGUUCUGAACCUGCAGGUGCAUGUAUCUUUUUGAAUUACAGUUUUGUCUGGAUAUAUAUACCAAGGCAUGGGAUUGCUGGAUUAAAUGGUAUUUCUAUAUUUAGUUUUCUGAGGAACCUCCAUACUGUUCUUCAUGGUGGUUGUACCAAUUAACAUUCCCAUCAAUAGUGUAGGAUGAUUCCCUUUUCUCCACACCCUCUCCAGCAUUUGUUAUUUGUAGACUUAUUAAUGAUGGCCAUUCUGACCAGUUGUGCGGUUGUUCCUCAUUAUAGUUUUGAUUUGCAUUUCUGUAAUAAUUAAUGAUGGCCAUUCUGACCAGUGUGCGGUUGUUCCUCAUUAUAGUUUUGAUUUGCAUUUCUGUAAUAAUUAAUGAUGUUGAGCAUUUUUUUCUUUUUCUCUUCUUUUCUUUCCUUUCUUUUUUUUUUUUUUUUUUUUUUUUUUUUUUUUUUUUUUUUUNCAGCAAUGCUGGAUUCCCUGACCCACUGAGCAAGGCCAGGGAUUGAACCUGCAUCUUCAUGGAUGCUAGUUGGAUUCAUUUCUGCUGUGCAACAACAGGAACUCCAAUGUUGAGCAUUUUUUCAUGUGCCUACUGGCCAGCCAUGUGUCUUUGGAGAAAUGUUUAUUUAAGUCUUCUGUCCAUUUUUUUUUUUACUGGAUUGUUUGUUUGUUUAUUGUUGAGUUGUAUGAGUUGUUUGUAUAUUUUGGAGGUUAAACCCUUGUUGGUUGCAUCCUUUGCAACUAUUUUCUCCCAUUCCAUAGGUUUUUUUUUUUUUUAUGGUUUCCUUUGCUGUGCAAAACUUGUAAGUUUGAUUAGCUCCCAAUUCCUGUUCUUCGGAAUUACUUUCCAAAAUAAACUAUCUGCACACAAACUCUGUUUCAGACUCUGCUUUUGAGACUAAUACACUAAGAAUAUAGAAUACUUGUACAAUAUAACCAGCAACCUUGACCUGACUGACAUGUAUAAAACAUUGCACCCAAACAAUGUAAAAUCUAUGAUCUUUUCAAGUGUAUAUGGAACAUUCAUCAGCAUUAAGUAUAUGCUAAGUGAAGGACAAGUUGUAAAAUUCAAAAGUAUCAAAUUCAUAGAGUAUUUAUUGCUCUGACCACGGUGGAAUUCAGUUAGAAAUAAUAAUAAAAAAGGAUAACUGAAAAUAACCGAUGUGUUGAAAAUAAACAGUAAAUAAUCUUUGGGUCAAAAAGAAAAUCAACAAAAAUUUAGAAAAAAAAAUUGAAAUUAGUAGUAGUAAAAGUAUACCACCUCAAAACCAAACAGCUAACAUACCAAGAGGAAAAUUUACAUUUUUAUAUUUCAUUUGUUAUCAAAAAAAGCUGAAAAGUCAAUACAAUUUUAUUACCUAUAUCCACCAUGUUAGAAAUAGUAUACUAAUUAAACCAAAGUAGAAUGAUUGAAAUAAUGAAGGCAAGAGAAAAGGCUGUUGAAACAGAAAACAGAUGUUUCUUGAAUUUAUGCUUUGGUAAUGCUGAAUGACUUGGCGUUCCCCAAGCACCAUCCUUUCUUCUGCCCUUUUUGGAUGUAUAGCUGCUUAUGCUCAUAAAGCCCUGUCUCAGUUUGUCCAGUGAUGGAAUAUAACCUGCCCUUGAGAUCUCAGUUCAAAUGAAGCUGUCGCUGCCUUCCCAGGACAGACUUGACAGCUUCUCUUACCACCCACAUCUCUCUCUCCAUUUCAGCACUUUGCUAUUGGUAAAGUGAUUAUGAGCUGGCAGUCUAUGAUCUUCUAUCACCAGGGUCUGGCACCUAGUAAGUGCCCAUCAAACUACUCUUGACUGAUAAAGUGAGUGAGUGGCAGUUUAUCCAGAAACCUGGAGACUGAGAGGAAUAGGUAAUUUUGAUACCCAGAUAGACAACAAGCAUUGUCACUGAAAGCACUCAUAUGAGAAAAGGUACAGAACUGGAGGAGAUAGUUACAAUCAUGUGUCUUGUGAUUAACAAGGGAUUCAUUCUGACUGGAUAGAAAAGGCUUUGAAAUCAGGAUGGGGAAUUAUUAAACAACUGGAAGAAUAUACCGAAAUGAUGGCUCGUGACAUCCUGGAAUACAAAAUGAAGAUGGGACUGACCUUUGCGGCCCUCAGCUCCCAGAGCAUAAUGAAAAUGGCAGGAUGGCAUUCUCACAGGGCUAGGAAACCCCAGGGCACAGAACUACCACUGCUCUGGGAACAGAGUGAAGGGUCCCAGAAUCCCUCAGAUAAUGUCAGAGGAUUGGGACAGGCUGGAGGCUGUUCCAAGUGCUAGAAAGGGCUUUUUAUUUCUUUUGGCUUUUUAGAGUUUUGAUACAACUUAAGGGAAGACAAUUCUGGUUCACAAACUGUUGGAAGAGGUACAUGAUCUUGGGGGCUAAUAAAAUGCCUGUACUAAUAAUGGGUAACUUUGAAUACUUACUAUACCUGAUACCUCACACCCCCAUCUCUUAUUUAAGCCUCGCCAUUCUUGUGCCCAUUUGACAGAUGAAUGGGAGAGGGGAUCUAAGAGAGGUGAAGAAAUUUGCCCCAAACACAAAGCGGGUAAGGGAUCCUACUGGGAUUCCAAUGCAGCUUGAUUCUGAGCUCUUAACUAUGCUCUUAAUCCACCUACCUCCCAAAUGCAUGGUCUGAAUAAGGGUUCUGUAAGAAAAGGAUAGCCCUUUGCCAGGCCUUGACAAUGCGAUCUUUGCUUUUUAGAUAUUUGUCCUAGGAGAUCCAAUCCUCUCCUCUCCCUUUAACAUUCCUCUUACAAGAACUGAAACAUUAGCCUUUCAGAGAGAUCUUGGUGCUUAGAUCCCUCUCCAUGGAGGCAUCAACAGACCAGCCAGAUGUCCACAAUUAUAUCAAUCACAUGUGGUAUGUAGGAGAAAGAGAAAGCUAUUCCUGGUUGUUUGUGUUAAGAGAUAAGGAAAUGCAGGAAUCAGGAGCAACUAAAAGGAAGAAUCAUCACCUGAGAAAGCAUUGAUUUCACAUCCUGAAGGGCUGAAUGAAGAGUUCCGCAUAACAUCCCCUCCAUUAACUCAGCAGAAGGGAGAGCCUAAAAGAUACUCUGAGUCUAGGCCCUCUGAUUCUUGCCAUGCUUGCUCAAAGCAACUGCCUGACUCCAUUUCUGGCAGGAACCAUAAUGAAACAAUCUUUGUGGGAGCACAUGAAAAGAACAAUGCAGGCUUCCUCCAACAGUCCACCAUAUAUGAGAAGAUCACCAUUGACAGAUUUGGUUCUAAGAUGUGCAGAACUGUCUGUUGUUGGCUGACUGAUACUGAUUGCUGAUAGACUGGCAGCAUUUCAAGGUUUUAAACAUGAUCACUACUGACAAAUUUAUUAGUCUCUUAAGCAAGCUAUCAACAACCUCCAAAGUGACUACCUUAGGGGAUCCCACUAUAAGGAAAGACUAAUCUCAGACUGGAGAAGAUGGACUGCUGUUACUGCAUAGGAGGGCUGGAAGAAGUUAGGAGUUCAAGGUUCCAGCUUCGUCAGAAUCUGCCCAAGUAUAUUCUCACACCAAUUUUCAGAGUC